AGGAAUGGAAAGAACAGACCUGAAUCAUUUGAGAGUGGAAGGAGAAUAAAGAAAAUCAGAAAAAGCUGAUCCCAGCUACAGAACAACCUAAUACAGAAACAAAUAAAGGUGAAAAAACCAUACUGCUAUAGCUAUGGAAUGUACUGAAAUGCAGAUACUUGCUUUGUCCACCUUGGAACACAAACUGUUUUGGGUAAUAUCAGGAAACACUAAGGUUUUAAUACACUUGUUAAAGCAAAAAAAAAAAAAAA
Trachemys scripta elegans is the source of this 251-nucleotide long non-coding RNA. RefSeq lists it as uncharacterized. The record is from RefSeq and is a predicted model, not a curated record. The transcript has 2 exons. Lineage: Eukaryota; Metazoa; Chordata; Testudines; Emydidae.